RNAcentral lists this ribosomal RNA (482 nucleotides) under uncultured bacterium. Its description in RNAcentral is "SSU rRNA". It matches the Rfam family "Bacterial small subunit ribosomal RNA", at positions 26 to 518 of the family's 1533-position model. The record is from RNAcentral.
AGGACGAACGCUGGCGGCGUGCCUAACACAUGCAAGUGGAGCGACGAACCGGGCUUCGGCCCGGGGCAAAGCCGCGAACGGGUGAGUAACACGUGGGUAACCUGCCCCGAUGAUUGGGACAACCCGAGGAAACUCGGGCUAAUACCGAAUGUGCCCUCCGGCCUCAAGGCCGCUGGGGAAAGGAAGCUUCGGCCUCCGCAUCGGGAUGGGCCCGCGGCCCAUUAGCUUGUUGGUGAGGUAACGGCUCACCAAGGCGACGAUGGGUAGCUGGUCUGAGAGGACGAUCAGCCACACUGGGACUGAGACACGGCCCAGACUCCUACGGGAGGCAGCAGUUAGGAAUUUUCCGCAAUGGGCGAAAGCCUGACGGAGCAACGCCGCGUGUGUGAUGAAGGCCUUCGGGUUGUAAAGCACUGUCGGAGGGAAGAAUGAAUGACGGUACCCUCCAAGAAAGCCCCGGCUAACUACGUGCCAGCAGCCGC